This 443-nucleotide ribosomal RNA is filed under the name uncultured bacterium. Its description in RNAcentral is "bacterial SSU rRNA". It matches the Rfam family "Bacterial small subunit ribosomal RNA", at positions 335 to 795 of the family's 1533-position model. The record is from RNAcentral.
ACUCCUACGGGAGGCAGCAGUGGGGAAUAUUGCACAAUGGGGGAAACCCUGAUGCAGCAACGCCGCGUGAGUGAUGAAGGCCUUCGGGUUGUAAAGCUCUGUCUUCAGGGACGAUAAUGACGGUACCUGAGGAGGAAGCCACGGCUAACUACGUGCCAGCAGCCGCGGUAAUACGUAGGUGGCAAGCGUUGUCCGGAUUUACUGGGCGUAAAGGGAGCGUAGGCGGAUACUUAAGUGGGAUGUGAAAUACCUGGGCUUAACUUGGGUGCUGCAUUCCAAACUGGGUGUCUAGAGUGUUGGAGAGGAAAGUGGAAUUCCUAGUGUAGCGGUGAAAUGCGUAGAGAUUAGGAAGAACACCAGUGGCGAAGGCGACUUUCUGGACCAUAACUGACGCUGAGGCUCGAAAGCGUGGGGAGCAAACAGGAUUAGAUACCCUGGUAGUC